RNAcentral lists this unclassified non-coding RNA (341 nucleotides) under soil metagenome. RNAcentral describes it as "partial contains 5.8S ribosomal RNA, internal transcribed spacer 2, and large subunit ribosomal RNA". The stretch from base 1 to 120 matches the Rfam family "5.8S ribosomal RNA", at positions 35 to 154 of the family's 154-position model. The record is from RNAcentral.
GAUGAAGAACGCAGCGAAAUGCGAUAAGUAGUGUGAAUUGCAGAAUUCAGUGAAUCAUCGAAUCUUUGAACGCACAUUGCGCCCCUUGGUAUUCCAUGGGGCAUGCCUGUUCGAGCGUCAUUUGUACCCUCAAGCUAUGCAUGGUGUUGGGUGUUUGUCCUCUCCUUUUGCGAUUGGACUCGCCUUAAAGACAUUGGCAGCCAGUGUAUUGGUCUUGAAGCGCAGCACGUUUUGCGAUUCUUGCUGAUAAUCACUAGCGUCCAGUAAGCCUAUUUUAACACUUUUGACCUCGGAUCAGGUAGGGAUACCCGCUGAACUUAAGCAUAUCAAUAAGCGGAGGA